This 120-nucleotide non-coding RNA is filed under the name Candidatus Jettenia. RNAcentral describes it as "c-di-GMP sequence". It matches the Rfam family "c-di-GMP-I riboswitch aptamer". From Rfam's summary of the family: GEMM was predicted in a large-scale screen for bacterial structured RNA regulatory elements. Genes associated with GEMM are involved in a diverse array of functions, including chemotaxis regulation, signal transduction, secretion and chitin. The record is from RNAcentral. Lineage: Bacteria; Pseudomonadati; Planctomycetota; Candidatus Brocadiia; Candidatus Brocadiales; Candidatus Brocadiaceae.
AGCGAUAAAGGCAAACCCUGAGUGAUCAGGGGACGCAAAGUAAAGGAUCUUUAAUUACACUGGCAGAGGCGCAUCAUGAUGCGUCUCUCCUAUGAAUGAAAGAUAGCCCUACUACCGAAC